Molecule: long non-coding RNA, 202 nt
Filed under: Elaeis guineensis (African oil palm)
Lineage: Eukaryota; Viridiplantae; Streptophyta; Magnoliopsida; Arecales; Arecaceae
Description: long non-coding RNA (EGUI_LNC029512)
Source: RNAcentral
CUAACAGGAGAUCCUUCGAUGCCCAAGUUAGACUAUCUUAGAAGAAUAGAGGAGGUUCUGAUUGAAAGAAGACAUAGGACAGAAAGAGGGAAGCUUGAGUGAUUGUCAAAGAGAAAAAGGGUUUUAUAAGUUUAGGAGAGUUUCAUCUCCAAAGAAUUUUUCUCAAUCAGAGACUAUUAGAGACUUUGUUUAGAUCUCCACC